GACGAACGCUGGCGGCGUGCCUAAUACAUGCAAGUAGAACGCUGAAGAGAGGAGCUUGCUCUUCUUGGAUGAGUUGCGAACGGGUGAGUAACGCGUAGGUAACCUGCCUGGUAGCGGGGGAUAACUAUUGGAAACGAUAGCUAAUACCGCAUGAUAUUAAUUGUCGCAUGAUAAUUAAUUGAAAGAUGCAAUUGCAUCACUACCAGAUGGACCUGCGUUGUAUUAGCUAGUUGGUGAGGUAACGGCUCACCAAGGCGACGAUACAUAGCCGACCUGAGAGGGUGAUCGGCCACACUGGGACUGAGACACGGCCCAGACUCCUACGGGAGGCAGCAGUAGGGAAUCUUCGGCAAUGGGGGGAACCCUGACCGAGCAACGCCGCGUGAGUGAAGAAGGUUUUCGGAUCGUAAAGCUCUGUUGUAAGAGAAGAACGGGUGUGAGAGUGGAAAGUUCACACUGUGACGGUAUCUACCA
RNAcentral lists this ribosomal RNA (474 nucleotides) under Streptococcus sanguinis. RNAcentral's name for it is "bacterial SSU rRNA". It matches the Rfam family "Bacterial small subunit ribosomal RNA", at positions 28 to 485 of the family's 1533-position model. The record is from RNAcentral. Lineage: Bacteria; Bacillati; Bacillota; Bacilli; Lactobacillales; Streptococcaceae.